Molecule: long non-coding RNA, 2400 nt
Filed under: Zea mays
Lineage: Eukaryota; Viridiplantae; Streptophyta; Magnoliopsida; Poales; Poaceae
Description: long non-coding RNA (ZMAY_LNC004470)
Source: RNAcentral
UUCCGGGUCUCCUCCUCUCCCAUCUUCGCUAUCUUCGCUGCGCAAUCGCGACCGUGUGGGGAGCUGAUCGGGAGUGAGCGGGCCGACGGCGUAGGGAGGUUGUGGACGUCGACUUCGGUCGUACCUACUGAGUCCGCAUGUGGCCGUGGAGAAGUCGUCGUCAAUCGGGGAAGGCGCGAGCACCGUCUGCGGGCGGAGUUCUGACUGAAUUCUCGGGCGAAUUCCUCGCCGGAGUGCCGUCACCGCUGCGGGAUCCGCAUCGUCGUGGACACCGCUUCCGAAGUCGCAUCCGCCUCCGGUAUGUCGUUGAUCGUGUCCACCUAACUCUUAUAAUCGUGUAGCCUCGUUCGGGUAGGGGAUUAGAGUACUGGUUUGCGUAGUCUGUUGUCACCGGCGGGGUUUCGCCGUCACGGCGCCACCGUCCACUGUGCUGGUGGGCUACCGGGGGAAGAAGGUGCGCGGACCGUUGAUCCUUUACGUGACAGCCAAGAUUAGAUAAUCGCGCACCUCUUCACGCGAUCAAUUAGUGUCGUAGAUCUAAAUUCCGAUGAGUGUGAGUCGAUCCCGGUUAUGUAGAACUCGGACCGUUGAUCGCUGACCCGGUGGUUGGUGUUGUGUACCGCUUUUCCUCCCUCGACGGUCUAAUCUUGGCGCUCUGUUUGUGAUUAGACGACAAGCUUUGCGCGAUAACGCUUCAUUGUGGCGAAUUUGCUAAAGAAACCCCGAGAAAAGCAGUAACUAACCUGCAGUCCAUCCUAGGUAUGAACUGAGUCUAGGAACUUUUGCGGGUUCACCCUCGAGCUAUUCUGCAUUACUGUGCGUAGUCCAUAACUCAAUGAAAAUUGAAUAAAUAAAUACAGAAAAUACUUUCUAGUAUAAAAUUAAAUCUAGAACUUGUUUAAUCCCUAGAAAAUUCAUCUUAGCUCCUUUUAACUCCAUUCCAGUUGCAAUAAUUUGGUAUUAAUAUUGUUCAUCACUUAGUAACUCUGUUUAGACAUGAAACAUAGACUAAAAUUGUUUACUUAAUUUAGCCCGUACCAAGCACUUAAUAACUUCGAAAAAUUGUAACUCGAUAACCGUAACUUCGGAUUUAGUGAUUUUUGUUCCUACGAUCUCGUUACAAUGCGUAGAAUAUUAUCAUGCAUUAUGUUCUGUUGUUUGGUGUGAUGUUAAUUUCUGCUAUCCCGUGCUUGUUUGUAUUGUUGCGAUAGACGAGCAAGCCACAGAGGAUCUAGGUGUUCAGCAGGUGGAGACUGUUGAGCAGGAGCUCGUUGAAGGCAAGUUGUGCCCUUAAUCACUUCUUUUACCCAAUAAUGUCCUUUUAAUCAUUAUGAUCUACAUAAGUUAAUUUUGAUGGGACCCAAUAGGUUACCCUAGUUGGACUAUCUUUAUAUCUUGCUUACCACUGAACUUUUGGGUAGUACUUGCUAUUGCUUUAUGUGGUUUUGGGUAUUGAGACACACAUUAUUCAUGAUCAUGCUUUUAUUAUCAGUUUGUUAUUUACUGUUCAUGAUAAGAUCAUUAUGUUAAUUGGAACAUGGAGCAACCACCCGGGAAAAUAGUGCUACCAUAAGGGUGAUAUGGAACGCCCUUGGCUGACUAUUUAGAAAAGCUAGUGGAGGACUAUCUUACCCGAAAGGGGCAAGGGCAGUAGGGGAGUGGUCAGCGUAGGGAGGUCCUUGGGUUGAUUUUGCUGCGAUGACGGUCAGGCGAGGGAUCCCUGCAUUGGAGCUUACCAGAACUGUAGCGGGUUUUCUGAAGCUAGUGGAACUUUGUAAAGGCCUUGUAGUGUUACCCAGACUCGCUUCCUUGGUAGAUGUGUAUGAGAAGUCGUGAUCCCUUGGCAUAUGGGUAACAUGACUUAUGGGUAAAGAUGUGCAACCUCUGCAGAGUGUAAAACUAGUAUAUCAGUCGUGCUCACGGUCAUGAGCGGUUAGAACCCUCACAUGAGUAAUUUAUGGAAUCAAAUUCAAUUUGUCAUUUACAUCGCAUUGUGGUUUAUUAUUAUUUUGAUCUCUUAUUACUCUAUUUUGUUAUUUACUUACAUUUAGUAACUGCUAAUAAAAUUUGACCAACUUAUUAAAAGCAAUGCUCAGCUUUACCCCUUGUUUGUUGAUCAGUCUUACACUUCACAUGAACUCCCACCUUUGGUGAGUUCAUGCACAUUAUUUCCCACAACUUGUUGAGCUAUGAUCUUUUGUGAGCUCACUCUUGCGAUAUAUAAACCCCCCAGGUGAAGAGCAGGUGGUCCAAGAGGCGCCCUAUAACGAGUUGAUCUAGGUGGUGUCUCCCAGUCAGCUUGAUGGCGCCAAGGAAUAAUUUUUAGUUUGUUUUAUUGUUAUCAUUUAUUUCUGUAAGACUUCCGCUAUGUAAUAACGAUACUUGUGACAUUUAUCUCUA